CCCGUACGCGUGUGCGCCCAGCUAUCACUCCCUCCACACCAGCUGCAAGCGUGGCAGGGAAAAGAGCCUGCCUCAUCCCUCCCCUCCCACCCGUUGCUCGGCACUCGAAAGCGCGAAGGUCGCGACGUCCAAGGCAAGAGCACAUGUUAAAUGUGAACAUCGGACUUCUCGGUCAUGUUGAUAGUGGCAAGACGGCACUGGCCAAGGCGCUGUCGAGCACUGCCUCCACUGCUGCCUUUGAUAAGAGUCCGCAGAGUCAGUCACGUGGGAUUACGCUCGACCUCGGUUUCAGUGCCUGUGAGGUGUCCGUCGAAGACGGAAACGCGGACGCCACCCGAGUACUGCGGGAAGCCGAUUUGACCAAGGUGCAGUGCACGCUGGUCGAUUGCCCAGGACACGCGUCACUGAUUCGCACGGUGGUUGGUGGAGCGCAGAUAAUUGACGCGAUGGUGUUGGUCAUCGACGCAACCAAGGGCAUGCAAGUGCAGACGGCUGAGUGUCUGAUCCUGGGCGAGGUGCUGGCCAAGCCGCUCGUCGUUGUGCUGAACAAGAUGGACGCGAUUCAAGGCGCAUCGCCAGCAGCUAAAGAGGCGGCAUUGGCGGCCCUCAAGAGAAAACUGCAGCAGGUGUUUCGCCGCACGCGGUGGCCCACGGUGGCUAUUGUGGAGGUGGCGGCUGCUCCCCGCGAGGUGGCGGGCGGGAUCGGACACCCCUUGAACACGGAGGCGGUUUUGCCUCAGGUGUUGCGCGCGGUCGACCUCGCGGCCCUGAAGUCUGCAAAAGAGAGCGAGGCUGAGAGGCCAGCGCAGUUCUACAUGCUUGUGGAUCACUGCUUCGCCGUGCGGGGCCAGGGUACCGUAUUCACCGGGACUGUUGUCGCUGGCGUCGUUCGUGUUGGGGACACGGUGCUCGUGCCGGAGCUGCAGACCACGCGCAAGGUAAAAGGGCUGCAGGUGUUUCACAAACCGGUCGAGAUGGCGCAGAGCGGGGACCGGGUGGGGCUGUGCGUGGCUCAGUUUGACCCUACAUGGAUGGAGCGCGGCGUCCUUUGCAGCGCCGCAAGCAGCGGCCGAGCGCUGGUGAGCUCCUCGCAGCUGAUCGCGCGGGUGCAUCGUGUGCGCUACCACCCGCUGCCGUGCGACACACACACAAAGUUUCACAUUACGAUCGGCCACGCUACCGUGAUGGGGACCAUGAGGUACUUUGCACGACCGCCGCGCGCGAACGAGAGCCUCGACGUCCCCGGCACCGGAGCCAGCUUCGAUCCGUCCAUCGAGAGUACAUAUGUGGAAGAGCUGGACGAUGGGGUUGUGGCCAGCUACACCUCUACCGACACCACCGCAAGCGUCCCCGGACGACCUUUGCCCGUCGCCCCGGCAGAGCAGGACUACUACGCCGUGCUGCUGCUCGAGCGGCCUGUGCUGGCGGCCCCUGGUGUGUCAAUGAUCGCCAUGCGUCUAGAUGUUGAGCGGGAGAACUUCUGCCGCAUCGCGCUAGCUGGCACGGUGUGCCACGUGUUCAUGGAAGACGGCGCUGCUGCAAGGACGACAACAGCCGUCCCGGGCCGCUCAGACCACUCUGCGAGUCACGGCCAGGUACCGGCGUGGCGGCGGCUUCCAGUCGUGCGCUACCGGUAUCGCGCGCUGCGAGUGGACCGGGUACUGGACAGCCGGAGCUGCAUCGCCGACGGUGUCGUAUCGCUGCAGACUCCCGGCGCCGGGGGUAGCGGUAGCCGGCCUGCCGGGGCGUCUGCGGGUGCCAGACGAGAUAAGGGCUGUGUCAACGCCGAGGCGCGCCAGAGGGCGGAGCUCUUUACGGAGGUGCAAAAGUUCCUCCGACUCGUUGUCGUCUUUGAGCCCGAGGAUGCCGACGCGGCAAUGACAACUCCUCAACCAAGCAACCCUGGCGCUGUGAAGGGCAUUAUCGACUCCUCGUUUGGCAAAACAGGGAAGGUGAAGCUUGUCUUCGACGGCCCUGUCUUUGCCGAUCCCGCUGCGAACGCCGCCACAGCGCCGAUCGGCUCAUUCGUGUCGGCGGCGCGUAAGAAGCGCAAUAAGUCGACAAGGGGCCCUGGCUCAGAGGACGCCGGCUGCAGCGGAGGUGUAUUUCUCCGGCCAGGACGCAUUCUUCUUGUACUGAAGAAGUACCCCUUUGCCCUUCACUCAGGCCUCGAGCAGUGAGUGCGAACUAGGGGAGCUGGAGUCGCCCCCGGAUGGCGAUGCGGAUGUGCGUGGAGGCGAUGGUCGUAUUGUGUUUGUCAUCUGAAGCCUCUGACAAAAAAAAUUCUGUGCACCGAAAGGGCAAAACUGUAGGUGGUGUGUGUGUGUAUUUGGAUGGAGGUGGGGGUGGAAGGGAUGAUGAAGGGUGCGAAGAGUGCUGCGGACGGAUCAUCAGCUGCUUUACCUUCUCCCCCCGUGGGCAUACAGACAGGCGCACACGCAGUUGUCGGGGCGAAGAACCUGUGAGGGUCUCGAGCGCAGCUUGCACUUUAUCCGCAGCAUGAAUUCAUCAACACCCCCGAACAUCUACUGUGAGCCAGCGCUCUUGAAUAGAAGGUGGACAGCUGCAGCUCUUCCGACAGACGGAACUGCUCAUGUGGCCGCUAGAGAGAUGCUGUUCUCCGUACUUGAGAGAGCGUUUCUGGCAAGACAUAUGCCGCGUAGCCCUUUUUUUUGGUUGGGGAGGGAGGGGGCCGAACUCGGUCUUUACUGGGCCUAGCAUUGCCUCUUGUUCUUCCUUCCACCACCUCGUAUGCCCUCCAUCUCCCCCCCACACGCAAACAG
RNAcentral lists this unclassified non-coding RNA (2783 nucleotides) under Leishmania donovani. RNAcentral's name for it is "gene:LdHU3.34.4630(CDS-product:selenocysteine-spe cific_elongation_factor_putative)". Lineage: Eukaryota; Euglenozoa; Kinetoplastea; Trypanosomatida; Trypanosomatidae. The record is from RNAcentral.